This 1305-nucleotide ribosomal RNA is filed under the name Triticum aestivum (bread wheat). RNAcentral's name for it is "partial small subunit ribosomal RNA". The record is from RNAcentral. Lineage: Eukaryota; Viridiplantae; Streptophyta; Magnoliopsida; Poales; Poaceae.
AUGCUUAAGUCUGUCCGAAUCAUGUUAGCAAUUGCCGCAUUUUAUAAUUAUGAAAUUUGGCAGAUGGAUGUCAAAACUGCAUUCCUGAAUGGAUUUCUAGAAGAAGAGUUGUAUAUGAUGCAACCGGAAGGUUUUUUCGAUCCAAAGGGAGCUAACAAAGUGUGCAAGCUCCAACGAUCCAUUUAUGAACUGGUGCAAGCUUCUCAGAGUUGGAAUAAACGCUUUGAUAGUGUGAUCAAAGCAUUUGGUUUUGUACAAACUUUUGGAGAAGCCUGCAUUUAUAAGAAAGUGAGUGGGAGCUCUGUAGCAUUUCCGAUAUUAUAUGUAGAUGACAUAUUACUAAACGGAAAUGAUAUAGAAUUUCUGGAUAGCAUAAAGAGAUACUUGAAUAAGAGUUUUUCAAUGAAAGACCUCGGUGAAGCUGCUUACAUGUUGGGCAUUAAGAUCUAUAGAGAUAGAUCAAGACACUUAAUUGGACUUUCACAAAGCACGUACCUUGACAAAAUUUUGAAGAAGUUCAAAAUGGAUAAAGCAAAGAAAGGAUUCUUGCCUGUGUUACAAGGUGUGAAAUUGAGUAAGACUCAAUGCCCGACCAAUGCAAAAGAUAGAGAGAAAAUGAAAGAUGUUCCCUAUGCUUCAGCCAUAGGAUCUAUCAUGUAUGCAAUGCUGUGUACCAGACCUGAUGUGUGUCUUGCUAUAAGUCUAGCAGAGAGGUACCAAAGUAAUCCAGGAGUGGAUCACUGGACAACGGUCAAGAACAUCCUGAAAUACCUGAAAAGGACUAAGGAUAUGUUUCUCAUAUAUGGAGGUGACAAAGAGCUCAUCAUAAAUGGUUACGUUGAUGCAAGCUUUGACACUGAUCCGGACGAUUCUAAAUCGCAAACCGGAUAUGUGUUUACAUUAAACAGUGGAGCUGUCAGUUGGUGCAGUUCUAAACAAAGCAUUGUGGCGGGAUCUACAUGUGAAGCGGAGUACAUAGCUGCUUCGGAAGCAGCAAACGAAGGAGUCUGGAUGAAGGAGUUCAUAUCCGAUCUAGGUGUCAUACCUAGUGCAUCGGGUCCAAUGAAAAUCUUUUGUGACAAUACUGGUGCAAUUGCCUUGGCAAAGGAAUCCAGAUUUCACAAAAGAACCAAGCACAUCAAGAGACGCUUCAAUUUCAUCCGGGAUCUAGUCCAGGUGGGAGACAUAGAGAUUUGCAAGAUACAUACGGAUUUGAAUGUUGCAGACCCAUUGACUAAGCCUCUUCCACGAGCAAAACAUGAUCAACACCAAAGCUCCAUGAGUGUUAGAAUCAUUACUGUGUAA